UAAAAAUAAGUCACUGUCUCGCCAUUACACC
RNAcentral lists this non-coding RNA (31 nucleotides) under Rattus norvegicus (Norway rat). The record is from RNAcentral. Lineage: Eukaryota; Metazoa; Chordata; Mammalia; Rodentia; Muridae.